Molecule: ribosomal RNA, 482 nt
Filed under: uncultured bacterium
Lineage: Bacteria
Description: bacterial SSU rRNA
Rfam family: Bacterial small subunit ribosomal RNA
Source: RNAcentral
AUUGAACGCUGGCGGCAUGCCUUACACAUGCAAGUCGAACGGUAACGGGCCUUCGGGUGCCGACGAGUGGCGAACGGGUGAGUAAUGCAUCGGAACGUACCUUUCAGUGGGGGAUAACGUAGCGAAAGUUACGCUAAUACCGCAUAUUCUGUGAGCAGGAAAGCAGGGGAUCGCAAGACCUUGCGCUGAUUGAGCGGCCGAUGUCAGAUUAGCUAGUUGGUGAGGUAAAGGCUCACCAAGGCGACGAUCUGUAGCGGGUCUGAGAGGAUGAUCCGCCACACUGGAACUGAGACACGGUCCAGACUCCUACGGGAGGCAGCAGUGGGGAAUUUUGGACAAUGGGCGCAAGCCUGAUCCAGCAAUGCCGCGUGCAGGAUGAAGGCCUUCGGGUUGUAAACUGCUUUUGUACGGAACGAAAAGGCUCUGGUUAAUACCUGGGGCUCAUGACGGUACCGUAAGAAUAAGCACCGGCUAACUACGUG